GCCAGGUGUGGUGGUGCAUGCCUGUAGUCCCAGCUACUCGGGAGGCUAAGGUGAGAGGAUCGCUUGAGCUUAGGAGUUCUGGGAUAUCAUGUGCUAUGCUGAUCAGGUAUCUGCAGUUCAGCAUCAAUAUGGUGACCUCCUGGGAGUGGGGGACAGGAAAACCAGGUUGUCUAAGGAGGGGUCAACUGGCCCAAGUUGGAAAUGGAGCAGGUUAAAGCCCCUGUGCUGAUCAGUAGUGGGUUCGCGCCUGCAAAUAGCCACUGCACUCCAGCCUGAGAAACAUAUCGAGACCCUGUGU
Molecule: unclassified non-coding RNA, 298 nt
Organism: Callithrix jacchus (white-tufted-ear marmoset)
Lineage: Eukaryota; Metazoa; Chordata; Mammalia; Primates; Cebidae
Rfam family: Metazoan signal recognition particle RNA
About the family: The signal recognition particle (SRP) is a universally conserved ribonucleoprotein. It is involved in the co-translational targeting of proteins to membranes.
Source: Ensembl